RNAcentral lists this long non-coding RNA (439 nucleotides) under Homo sapiens (human). Its description in RNAcentral is "non-protein coding lnc-CACNB3-1:1". Lineage: Eukaryota; Metazoa; Chordata; Mammalia; Primates; Hominidae. The record is from RNAcentral.
CAAGCUCCUUUUGUCUGGGCAUCCCCCUCCCCCUCCCCAGAAGUGGGGGCCGAGUUGCCCACUCCCCUUCCUAGCAGCGGGUUAUUUCCAGCACGGAGCAGCUGCCCAAGUUACCUGGGAGAUGGGAAAAUCGUGUGAAAGCUGGUUAACCCUUUGAGGAUUAGAGUAAUGGUGGAAGCAGAAAGGAGAAGGAGUUUCACUCCAGGAUGUACGUAGGACCAGCCCUCCCUGCAGUCCUGUCCUUCAAGACUCAAGUCUUGUCCACUCCAAAUCACCACUGGGAUUCCUAAGUCCAGGACAGAGCUUCAGGCAAGGAAAAGAAGAGUUGGGAAAGCCAGUUUCCAACAUUUAUCAGCCACGUGUACCUGCAAACUAUAUACCUUGGGUAAAUCAUCAAUCUCUUGAAAUGGGAAUAAAACCAUCUGCCUUGUCUUUCUUA